RNAcentral lists this long non-coding RNA (337 nucleotides) under Oryza sativa (Asian cultivated rice). Its description in RNAcentral is "long non-coding RNA (OSAT_LNC001904)". Lineage: Eukaryota; Viridiplantae; Streptophyta; Magnoliopsida; Poales; Poaceae. The record is from RNAcentral.
GGCAAAUUGCAAGAUGUUACCGAGCUUGAUCUUUCCGAGAAUAGGAUCAUGGCACUCCCAUCAACAAUUGGCAGCCUUAGAUAUUUGACAAAGCUUGACCUACACUCAAAUCAGCUGAUCAAUCUGCCCGACGCGUUUGGGGAACUCUCCAACCUAAUUGAUCUUGACCUGCAUGCCAACCAGCUUAAGUCUCUUCCUUCAUCAUUUGGAAAUCUCACGAGCCUAGCAAACCUUGACCUGAGCUCAAAUAUGUUGAAGGCUCUUCCAGAUUGUUUAGGAAAAUUGGCAAACUUGAGAAGAUUAAUUGUUGAGACAAAUGAGCUUGAGGAGCUACCCU